AGAGUUUGAUCCUGGCUCAGAAUGAACGUUGGCGGCGUGGAUUAGGCAUGCAAGUCGAGCGAGAACCCGCAAGGGGGACAGCGGCAAACGGGGUAGUAACGGGUAGGUGACGUACCCUCGGGUCGGGGAUAGCCACGGGAAACUGUGGGUAAUACCCGAUAAUCUCCUGGAGCGUGAUUAAGCUUCGGGAGCAAAGGUGUGAUUCCACCUGGGGAGCGGCCUGCUUCGUAUUAGCUAGUUGGUGAGGUAACGGCUCACCAAGGCGACGAUGCGUAGGGGGUGUGAGAGCAUGACCCCCACCACUGGGACUGAGAUACUGCCCAGACACCUACGGGUGGCUGCAGUCGAGAAUCUUCGGCAAUGGGCGCAAGCCUGACCGAGCGACGCCGCGUGUGGGAUGAAGGCCCUUGGGUUGUAAACCACUGUCAGAGGGGAUGA
This 438-nucleotide ribosomal RNA is filed under the name uncultured bacterium. RNAcentral describes it as "bacterial SSU rRNA". It matches the Rfam family "Bacterial small subunit ribosomal RNA", at positions 8 to 448 of the family's 1533-position model. The record is from RNAcentral.